AUGACCCAGAACAUGGUGUGGCUGACGAUGAAAUUCCUGAUAUGGAAUAAUUCUGCACAGUUAUUGGUGGAGAAGCUUGUUGGUCCUGAUGUGAAUACAAUGUUAUAUCUGCCCUACUCUCUUAAAAAAUCAAAAGUUGAAUUCCAGCUACAUCAACCUUAUCAUGGGUCUGUUCUUAGCAUUGGUUUGAACAACAAAAGGAUGCCUUGCUUAUCUGUUUCGAGCUUAUGCGGCCUGCAGGAUAUCUGUUUGGGAGGUGUUGACAGCCUUGCUUUUGGGGGCCAAUUGAAAAUAAACGAGUCCAAUUCAUGGUUCAGUGUUUCUGCUGGGUUGUCAGUCCGUGCUGAAUUGUUCAGUGCUGGCCUAACUUUUAAACAACCUGGUCAGUUUGAUUAUACUUUCUGCAGCAAUAUUCUCAAUACAAGCACUGUAUUAGGUGGCCUGGCUAGCUAUAGCUAUCUGACCAAUCAAUGGAAAUUGAUUGGCGGAAUUGGUCACACUUUUGACCCCACCUUGAAUAUCAAAGGGCGUAUUGGUAAUGAUAAAACUGUCAAUGCUCUUAUCUCUAAGAAGUUCGCUGGCAAAGGCAGUCUUCAUUUUGCAUCGGAGGUUGAUUUAAAGGAUUUUUGGAGAUAUCCUCGGGUUGGUUUGUCAUUUUUGUUUCCUUAG
RNAcentral lists this ribosomal RNA (669 nucleotides) under Triticum aestivum (bread wheat). RNAcentral describes it as "partial small subunit ribosomal RNA". The record is from RNAcentral. Lineage: Eukaryota; Viridiplantae; Streptophyta; Magnoliopsida; Poales; Poaceae.